UACGGGAGGCAGCAGUAGGGAAUCUUCCACAAUGGACGCAAGUCUGAUGGAGCAACGCCGCGUGAGUGAAGAAGGUUUUCGGAUCGUAAAGCUCUGUUGUUGGUGAAGAAGGAUAGAGGUAGUAACUGGCCUUUGUUUGACGGUAAUCAACCAGAAAGUCACGGCUAACUACGUGCCAGCAGCCGCGGUAAUACGUAGGUGGCAAGC
RNAcentral lists this ribosomal RNA (207 nucleotides) under uncultured bacterium. RNAcentral describes it as "partial 16S ribosomal RNA". It matches the Rfam family "Bacterial small subunit ribosomal RNA", at positions 340 to 539 of the family's 1533-position model. The record is from RNAcentral.